GUGCUCACUCUGGCAGCACACGCACUAAAAUCGGCACGACACAAAGAAGCUCAGCACAGCUCCUGUGUGAGGACAGCACGCGAAUUCGUGCAGUGUUCUGUAUUUUU
Molecule: small nuclear RNA, 107 nt
Organism: Artibeus jamaicensis (Jamaican fruit-eating bat)
Lineage: Eukaryota; Metazoa; Chordata; Mammalia; Chiroptera; Phyllostomidae
Source: RefSeq, a predicted model, not a curated record